This 119-nucleotide small nucleolar RNA is filed under the name Echinops telfairi (small Madagascar hedgehog). Its description in RNAcentral is "Small nucleolar RNA SNORA61 (ENSETEG00000024591.1)". The record is from RNAcentral. Lineage: Eukaryota; Metazoa; Chordata; Mammalia; Afrosoricida; Tenrecidae.
AACCUCUAGAUUUCUUACCCAUCAGAUCUAAACACCAGUCUCAGUGAUUAUAAAUGGAAGAAGAGUAAUAUUGAAACUGACAAAAUCUUUUGUGAUGUACAAGCUAGUUUCACAGAAAG